AACCAUAGAAACCUGCGGAGUACCUGCGGAAGGAUCAUUACCGAGUUUACAACUCCCAAACCCCUGUGAACAUACCUAUACGUUGCCUCGGCGGAUCAGCCCGCGCCCUGUAAAACGGGACGGCCCGCCCGAGGACCCUAAACUCUGUUUUUAGUGGAACUUCUGAGUAAAACAAACAAAUAAAUCAAAACUUUUAACAAUGGAUCU
This 207-nucleotide unclassified non-coding RNA is filed under the name soil metagenome. Its description in RNAcentral is "partial contains 5.8S ribosomal RNA, internal transcribed spacer 2, and large subunit ribosomal RNA". The record is from RNAcentral.